GAUGAACGCUGGCGGCGUGCCUAAUACAUGCAAGUCGAGCGAACGGACGAGAAGCUUGCUUCUCUGAUGUUAGCGGCGGACGGGUGAGUAACACGUGGAUAACCUACCUAUAAGACUGGGAUAACUUCGGGAAACCGGAGCUAAUACCGGAUAAUAUUUUGAACCGCAUGGUUCAAAAGUGAAAGACGGUCUUGCUGUCACUUAUAGAUGGAUCCGCGCUGCAUUAGCUAGUUGGUUAGGUAACGGCUUACCAAGGCAACGAUGCAUAGCCGACCUGAGAGGGUGAUCGCACACACUGGAACUGAGACACGGUCCAGACUCCUACGGGAGGCAGCAGUAGGGAAUCUUCCGCAAUGGGCGAAAGCCUGACGUAGCAACGCCGCGUGAGUGAUGAAGGUCUUCGGAUCGUAAAACUCUGUUAUUCGGGAAGAACAUAAGUGUAAGUAACUGUGCACAUCUUGACGGUACCUAAUCAGAAAGCCACGGCUAACUCCGUG
RNAcentral lists this ribosomal RNA (497 nucleotides) under uncultured bacterium. RNAcentral's name for it is "partial 16S ribosomal RNA". It matches the Rfam family "Bacterial small subunit ribosomal RNA", at positions 28 to 507 of the family's 1533-position model. The record is from RNAcentral.